GUCCCUGUAGCUUGGUCAGAUGGAACGCCGUACUUAUAAUGCGGAGGUGGAGAGUUCGAGUCUCUCCAGGGGCA
This 74-nucleotide transfer RNA is filed under the name Taenia asiatica. It matches the Rfam family "tRNA". Rfam says of the family: Transfer RNA (tRNA) molecules are approximately 80 nucleotides in length. Lineage: Eukaryota; Metazoa; Platyhelminthes; Cestoda; Cyclophyllidea; Taeniidae. The record is from Rfam by way of RNAcentral.